CAGCUGACCAGCAACCACAAUGGUCAGGCAGUCAGACAGCAGCUGCAACACAACAAGCAUCAGAAAACAUCAGCAACAUGAAAGACUCCCCAUUGUAAACUGACAUCAGCUGAUAGUGUUACAUGAUGCUUCUAAAUUGUGUAUCGGUGGACACACUGAGUCAUUUAUAAACCUGUCCAUCAACGGUCAAAAGUGAUGAGGUUUGUGGUGGGAAUGGGUGCACUCUGAGAUAGUCAGUCUGACGCUUACUUCACCUUCCUCGAAUUGAUGAAUAGGUCCAAUAUUCUGAUAGGCUUUGUAGUCAUUGAUUAGUCUCCCUCAUUUUAGCUUAUUGCUGAUCAGUUUGUGUCUGGUUGUCAGGUUUCGCCGCUCCUUGGUCACCAGUGUUGCCCAGGAGACCUGGCAGUUCCUGGCCGUCUUUGUCUCUGCACUGGUAAACCCCAUGCUGGAGAAGCAUCGCAUUUCAAGGACGUGCAACAGUAAGUAACUUCUUUUCGAUCCUUUGCCGACAUGCAAACAUAAUCUUAGGGGAAUGGUGAUUUCGAGGAGAACUUAUUUUAGAGUGGUGUAGCCGAAUAAACACUGUUUAAAAUAACAACGAUAUAACUUUGUAACAUGAGUGAACGGUAGGGUACCUGAAAGACCCAUGUUCAGUUUGUGUUAAUUGGUUCGUGGUCAUUUGAUUUGUUUGGGAAUAUUCACCACUAAAGCAACCUUUCAACUGAAGGAGGACUGGGGUAAGGCAUUCCUGUCUUGUAGAGGGGCCCUGUGUCAUAAUGUACAUGGUACAUAUUCCUAAAUAAAUUUGGGUUUGACUAAAUUUACACACAGAGGGGCCCAAUAGGGCCCCACAGAUACAGCAUUUCUCCACCGGGCCCCCUAGCGGGUUAAUUUGGUCAUGUUGGUGUGUGUGAAAUCAGUAGGAGAUUCAAACUAUGGCGUUUUUAUUUUUUUCAUUAAAGGGACUACAUGGCCUCCAUACAUGUGUGUAUGAUAACUCUUCAUAGUAUUUGUUAUAUUUGUUUUAAAACUAGCAAUGAGGAAAGUCAAGGCUGUAGACAAGAACCUCUACAGCGUAAGCAGAAUCAUUUCUGUUGCCAUGACUUUAAGUGGCUUUACUUUCAAAUAGGACCAAGCCUCAAAGGCUGUGUGAAGCAUCGCGGUUACAAUUUAACAGCUAUUGAAAAAUAAAACAGUGUUUGUUUCAGACAAGACUAAAAAGAAAUUGACACCCAGGCAUUUUAUGUUUGUGUUUUUAUUGAACAAGCCCCUACAUAUCGAAAGGGUUGUUGACAUUGUCGGAUGACAUGCCGGCAGUCGAUGCUUCUGCGUUGCUGGAGUUUAGCGGUACCUCUCAGACAGAGCCCAAGCCAGGCUCUGCAGGAACUUGUCAAUUGAGACGUGGACCUCUGGAGUGAAGUCUGC
This is a long non-coding RNA of Siniperca chuatsi (mandarin fish), 1425 nucleotides long. RefSeq lists it as uncharacterized. The record is from RefSeq and is a predicted model, not a curated record. Lineage: Eukaryota; Metazoa; Chordata; Actinopteri; Centrarchiformes; Sinipercidae. The transcript has 3 exons.